CGGGGUAGGAGUAACGCGUGGGGAACCUGCCUCAAAGAGGGGGACAACAGUUGGAAACGACUGCUAAUACCGCAUAAGCCCACGGCUCGGCAUCGAGCAGAGGGAAAAGGAGCAAUCCGCUUUGAGAUGGCCUCGCGUCCGAUUAGCUAGUUGGUGAGGUAACGGCCCACCAAGGCGACGAUCGGUAGCCGGACUGAGAGGUUGAACGGCCACAUUGGGACUGAGACACGGCCCAG
RNAcentral lists this ribosomal RNA (236 nucleotides) under uncultured bacterium. RNAcentral's name for it is "partial 16S ribosomal RNA". It matches the Rfam family "Bacterial small subunit ribosomal RNA", at positions 104 to 334 of the family's 1533-position model. The record is from RNAcentral.